Molecule: ribosomal RNA, 440 nt
Filed under: uncultured bacterium
Lineage: Bacteria
Description: partial 16S ribosomal RNA
Rfam family: Bacterial small subunit ribosomal RNA
Source: RNAcentral
CCUACGGGCGGCUGCAGUGGGGGAUAUUGCACAAUGGGGGAAACCCUGAUGCAGCGACGCCGCGUGUGGGAAGACGGUCCUCCGGAUUGUAAACCACUGUCCCCAGGGACGAAGAUGACGGUACCUGGGGAGGAAGCUCCGGCUAACUACGUGCCAGCAGCCGCGGUAAUACGUAGGGAGCGGGCGUUGUCCGGAAUUACUGGGUGUAAAGGGAGCGUAGGCGGGGAUGCAAGUUGGGUGUCAAAACUACCGGCUCAACUGGUAGUCGCACUCAAAACUGCAGCUCUUGAGUGAAGUAGAGGCAGGCGGAAUUCCUAGUGUAGCGGUGAAAUGCGUAGAUAUUAGGAGGAACACCAGUGGCGAAGGCGGCCUGCUGGGCUUUUACUGACGCUGAGGCUCGAAAGUGUGGGGAGCAAACAGGAUUAGAUACCCUUGUAGUC